UACGGGGGGGGCAAGCGUUGUUCGGAAUUACUGGGCGUAAAGGGCUCGUAGGCGGCCAACUAAGUCAGACGUGAAAUCCCUCGGCUUAACCGGGGAACUGCGUCUGAUGCUGGAUGGCUUGAGGUUGGGAGAGGGAUGCGGAAUUCCAGGUGUAGCGGUGAAAUGCGUAGAUAUCUGGAGGAACACCGGUGGCGAAGGCGGCAUCCUGGACCAAUUCUGACGCUGAGGAGCGAAAGCCAGGGGAGCAAACGGG
Molecule: ribosomal RNA, 253 nt
Filed under: uncultured bacterium
Lineage: Bacteria
Description: partial 16S ribosomal RNA
Rfam family: Bacterial small subunit ribosomal RNA
Source: RNAcentral